GCCACAAGGGAAGCAUCUCUACUUGGAGAUUGUCUCCUUUGGAGUGUUUAGUGAGCCUGAUCCUUGAAAAGGGGUAACAUCACAACAAAAAGAAAGAAAGAAUGGCUGAUCUGAGUUCAAGAUAUGGCUUGGACCACUUUCAG
Molecule: long non-coding RNA, 143 nt
Organism: Numida meleagris (helmeted guineafowl)
Lineage: Eukaryota; Metazoa; Chordata; Aves; Galliformes; Numididae
Exons: 2
Source: RefSeq, a predicted model, not a curated record